GGGGGUAUAGCUCAAUUGGUUAGAGCAAUCGCCUGUCGAGCGAAAGGUUGCGAGUAUGCCUACGGCACGCUACGCGAACAAUUCUCGUUACUCCCG
Molecule: transfer RNA, 96 nt
Filed under: Cylindrospermum stagnale PCC 7417
Lineage: Bacteria; Bacillati; Cyanobacteriota; Cyanophyceae; Nostocales; Nostocaceae
Description: tRNA-Asp (GTC) (tRNA-Asp-GTC-2-1)
Rfam family: tRNA
About the family: Transfer RNA (tRNA) molecules are approximately 80 nucleotides in length. Their secondary structure includes four short double-helical elements and three loops (D, anti-codon, and T loops).
Source: Rfam by way of RNAcentral